Non-coding RNA from Cylas formicarius (sweet potato weevil), 128 nucleotides. RefSeq annotates it as small Cajal body-specific RNA 8. The transcript has a single exon. The record is from RefSeq and is a predicted model, not a curated record. Lineage: Eukaryota; Metazoa; Arthropoda; Insecta; Coleoptera; Brentidae.
UGGAAGAAAGAAUACGUGUGUAAGUUAUUUAAAAUUUGCACAUCACAACCCUUCCUAAAAUAUUAUCGCUUUCUGAUGACUCCACCCGUUUGAGUAUUUGGUUGGGGACAGAUACGAAGCGUACACAA